AGUAGCGGCGAGUGAAGCGGCCAAAGCUCAAAUUUGAAAUCCUCCGGGAACAGUAAUUUGUAGACUUGUUCUAGGUGACUGACUAAAGUUUGCUGGAAUGCAACGCCUUAGAGGGUGACAGCCCCGUUAAGUCUUAACCGAUUGUAGAGCAAUGUCAAAGAGUCGAGUUGUUUGGGAAUGCAGCUCAAAGUGGGUGGUAAACUCCAUCUAAAGCUAAAUAUUGGCGAGAGACCGAUAGCGAACAAGUACAGUGAUGGAAAGAUGAAAAGAACUUUGAAAAGAGAGUGAAAUAGUACGUGAAAUUGUUGAAAGGGAAGGAUUUAGUGGUAGACUUGGCUUUACGGAACAGUUGUCUCUCGGGAUUGCGUACUCCGUCUUUUGCCGGGUGAAGCCAUGUGAUGAGGGGUUAAGAAACCUCUAGGAAUGUGGCACCAACUUGUUGGUGUGUUAUAGCCUAGAGAAAUUGACCCAUUCGCUACAUUGGCUUCACGUAAUACUACUAAAUCACCCGUCUUGAAACACGGACCAAGGAGUCUACCAGACUGGCAAGUAUUUGGGCGUAAACCCCUUAUGCGAAAUGAAAGUGAAUGUGAGAUCCUUUUUGGAGCAUCACACGCGGGCGGUCAACCUAUUUGAUACGCUCAGUGGAGCCCGUCUGGUGGGACCCGAAAGAUGGUGAACUAUGCCUGAGUAGGGUGAAGCCAGAGGAAACUCUGGUGGAGGCUCGUAGCGGUUCUGACGUGCAAAUCGAUCGUCGAACUUGGGUAUAGGGGCGAA
Molecule: ribosomal RNA, 777 nt
Filed under: [Candida] sp.
Lineage: Eukaryota; Fungi; Ascomycota; Saccharomycetes; Saccharomycetales
Description: Candida sp. (in: Saccharomycetales) partial large subunit ribosomal RNA
Rfam family: Eukaryotic large subunit ribosomal RNA
Source: RNAcentral